Molecule: ribosomal RNA, 497 nt
Filed under: uncultured bacterium
Lineage: Bacteria
Description: partial 16S ribosomal RNA
Rfam family: Bacterial small subunit ribosomal RNA
Source: RNAcentral
GAUGAACGCUGGCGGCGUGCCUAAUACAUGCAAGUCGAGCGAACAGACGAGGAGCUUGCUCCUCUGACGUUAGCGGCGGACGGGUGAGUAACACGUGGAUAACCUACCUAUAAGACUGGGAUAACUUCGGGAAACCGGAGCUAAUACCGGAUAAUAUAUUGAACCGCAUGGUUCAAUAGUGAAAGACGGUUUUGCUGUCACUUAUAGAUGGAUCCGCGCCGCAUUAGCUAGUUGGUAAGGUAACGGCUUACCAAGGCAACGAUGCGUAGCCGACCUGAGAGGGUGAUCGGCCACACUGGAACUGAGACACGGUCCAGACUCCUACGGGAGGCAGCAGUAGGGAAUCUUCCGCAAUGGGCGAAAGCCUGACGGAGCAACGCCGCGUGAGUGAUGAAGGUCUUCGGAUCGGAAAACUCUGUUAUUAGGGAAGAACAAAUGUGUAAGUAACUAUGCACGGCUUGACGGUACCUAAUCAGAAAGCCACGGCUAACUACGUG